Long non-coding RNA from Esox lucius (northern pike), 1191 nucleotides. The record is from Ensembl. Lineage: Eukaryota; Metazoa; Chordata; Actinopteri; Esociformes; Esocidae.
GUUCCGAAGAGAUAUGGUUAGUUUUUGUUCAGGUAGGAAUACUGCAGCUGGUUCUGUGAGGGUAUUUUAAACUGAAAAAUAAUUUCUUUUCAAUGGACAGUUUAUGAUGUUAUUGUAUUGUUACCAAAAACAUCAAAUCUUUUUCUGUGGGUUUAAUCUUGAGGUGUAUUCAACUGCCAAGAUAUUUAGGAAAAAGGAAAAGCCAUUAAGGUACUUAGUUUCACAUAGCAUUUGUACUUCUUUUUACCCAAUCUACAAUUAUAAGGAGCUCAAUUUCAUCAAACCUGCAUUGCAGUAUUCAAAUAGUGGCUAUUUUUGAAACUGUCAAAUAAACUCACUGUUUUUGGGUACUGUAUUAUUUCUCAAAAUAGAGACAGCACUCAGUUUAGAUAUUAAUUUAGUAUGCAUGAUGCAAAUAUAAUCUCUCAGAUUUCAAAUAAGGGAUUUAAAUUAGAUUUAUCUACAAACUUGGUAUCAGUAACUAAGUAGCACUUGCCUAGGUAGAACUUGAAAGUGAGCUCAUAUCAAUACCAUGUCCAUUUUUAUACAUUUGGUGAUUAUUGUCAUAAGGAGUGGAUUUUAAGCAGAUUGUUAGCUGUCAGACAUGUUACUGAGUUAGUUCACACUUUACCAACUGAGAUAUUUAGCAUUUGAUUCACAGCCCUCGAAGGGAUUAUUUCUCCUCCUGUCUACCCCUGUACCUUACAAAGUGAAAGGCUCCUCUGUCAGAUCAUGUUUUUGCUUGUCCUGUUGAGAAUUGUGUGUUGUGGGAAGUGAGAACUGAGAAGGUUGAUGAUGGUUUGCGUCAUGUGUACAAUGUGUAGCUGUGAAGGUUCUUAUUUGCUUCAUUUGACACGGAGCAAAUGUUUGUUUUUGUUUUCAGCGACUGAGAAUUUGAGAAGGCGAAAAGAUUAAGAAAGGUUGAGGUUGAGUCUUAGUUGACAGUCAUAUGGAAUUGUAUAUGGUAUUGUAUGGAAAAGAUUGGUUGACAAGUCAGUAUUUAUUCUGGAGUCAGAAAAUUCAUGAUAAAGCUGAUGAAAUUAUACUGAUAGAUUUUCACAAAAUAUAAUGUUUCCUUACCUCUUUUUCCCCCCAUGUUUUUUAAAAUUGCAUUGAUUUGUUUUGUCUUAGUUUCGCUUUAUUUUUGCACUGGAUCUUUGUUUUGUACACCAUGUACUGUAUACCCAACCC